RNA transcript from Ictalurus punctatus (channel catfish), 7894 nucleotides. It is a transcript of the gene named membrane associated guanylate kinase, WW and PDZ domain containing 2a, with no coding region annotated. The transcript is spliced from 23 exons. The record is from RefSeq and is a predicted model, not a curated record. Lineage: Eukaryota; Metazoa; Chordata; Actinopteri; Siluriformes; Ictaluridae.
UCGAAUCGUUGCUCAUUUGCAUAAAGUUCUAAACUCCGUUUGGAGUCCGCGCUUGGCCGCUCACAGGCCCCGCCCACGCGUAUCGCUGCUUAUUUACGUGAUGUUAAACCCCUCUGCUCUCAGGCCACGCCCACUUCUCUUCACUAACGUUCCUUUCGCCUCCGGUUACUGUAUAAAAUCUGCAACUCUUCUCUGGAAAUGAAUGACUUCCGGCCGCUCUAAUCGCAUCCUGUGUGUGUGUGUCAGUGAAGCUGCAAAUAUAUCCACACACACACACACACACACACGCACAAAACAUAAAAGCUUGAAGAAGACUGAUAAACCGCAGCGGAGUCCGUGAUUUUCUUGGCCACAAAAAAACAAAAAGGUUCAACCAAAGUUUUUGCACGAGGACAUCGGGAAUGGUCCAGGUUACAGCUGUUUACAGAUGUUGCAUUGUCAUUAGUGUUGGAGGAGGGUGUGUCUGGGAUUUAAGACGGGACAGAAACUUUCUGUGCUAUCAGCAUUUGUGUGUGUGUGUGUGUGUGUGUGUUGGGUUUCAACUAGGACGUCCGACAUGGAUCCUCCGGACAUCUGAAGCCGUUUUCCCGGAGUUUAAGUUGGAAAACCGGGAACAUCUCACCACACAGGCCGCCCUCAUGUAACUAAAGGAAGUCCAAACAUGUCCAAAAACUCGACGAAGAGAAUCCACUGGAGCAGCAGAGUGCGUGAAGUGGUGUUAACCCGGGAUAAACACGGGGAGCUCAGUGUGGAUAUUAGAGGAGGCGCAGAGCUCGGUCAGUUCCCCAUGCUCGGAGCUCCGGAUGGGAUCACUACAGAUGGAAGGGCGGCUCAGACCCGGGGAGAACUUCUGCUGGAGGUGAACGACACCCCGGUGGCCGGACUGACCACCAGAGACGUGAUGGCGGUGUUAAAACAUUGCAAAGACCCCGUCCGCCUCAGGUGUCUCAAAACAGGAGGAGUUGUAGAUAAAGAUCUCAGGCUCUACCUCAGCUUGCGCUUUCAGAAAGGCUCUCUAGACCACAAACUGCAGCAGAUCAUCCGGGACAACCUCUACCUCCGCACCGUGCCCUGCACGACCCGGCCGCCUAAAGAGGGGGAAGUUCCUGGAGUGGACUACAACUUUGUGAGUGUUGAGCGUUUCCUGGAAUUAGAAAGAAGUGGAGCUCUGCUGGAGAGCGGAACAUAUGAAGAUAACUACUACGGCACACCCAAACCCGCGGCGGAGGCGAGCAGUGUGCUGCUGAUUCCCGGCUCCGUCCCAAACACAGCCAGCAAACGCAGACGCAACAAAUCCGUCAGUAACAUGGAGAAAGCCGGGAUCGAACCACCUGAGGAGGAGGAGGAGGAGACUGCCGUCGUCAACGGAGUCACAGCCACACCAGACUGCAGUGAGCAGGAGGAGAAGAGUACAGACAACUCCGGGGACACGCCCCAUGCAGACGGGACAAUGAGAGAGGAGAAGGAGGAGACAGACACGGUGAGGGCGGAGACAGAGGAGGAUAAGCCCCGCCUUAAAGACGAGCACUGUGACGAGCUCGGACCUCUGCCCGAUAACUGGGAGAUGGCUUACACGGAGAAAGGAGAGGUGUACUUCAUCGAUCACAACACUAAGACGACAUCAUGGUUAGAUCCACGGCUUGCGAAGAAAGCUAAACCACCAGAGGAGUGCAACGAAGAUGAGCUUCCGUACGGCUGGGAGAAGAUCGAUGAUCCAGUUUAUGGCAGUUACUAUGUGGAUCAUAUAAACAGGAGGACUCAGUUUGAGAACCCGGUUCUAGAGGCUAAGAGGAGACUGCAGAUGCAAAGCCAAGGCCUUUCCUCGCUUCCACUGCCUGCUCUAUACAGAGGUAUAGAGAAGUCCCUGUUCACGCGAGACCCCACACAGCUGAAGGGCAGGUUCCUCUCGACGACGCUACAGAAAAGCACCAUGGGAUUCGGCUUUACGAUCAUCGGCGGAGAUGAGCCGGACGAGUUCCUGCAGGUGAAGAGCGUGAUUCCAGACGGUCCUGCUGCACAGGAUGGCAAGAUGGCCACAGGCGAUGUGAUCGUCUACAUAAAUGAGGUGUGUGUACUUGGUACGACUCACGCAGACGUGGUGAAGUUAUUCCAGUCGGUGCCCAUCGGGCAGAGCGUGACCCUGGCGCUUUGUCGAGGAUACCCGUUACCCUACGAUGCUGAGGAUUCAGGAAACACCUUGAUCUCACCUCUUGGUCUCAUAGGAGACCGCCCCCUGCUGCUUAACGGCCGCAACUGCACCACGUAUGACACAUAUAUGGAGUACUUAAGCCGCACCGCGCACUUCCUGGACGACGGCGUCUCGUUGGCGUCGUCAGGGACGGAGCUGAUCGCCGUCACCAUUGUGAAGGGGCCGGAUGGGUUUGGCUUCACCGUAGCGGACAGCGAUGGAGGUCAGAGGGUGAAGCAGGUGCUAGAGCCUCAGCGCUGCCCAGGUCUGUGCGAAGGAGACCUGAUCGUGGAGAUCAACCAGCGGCCGGCCCUCACGCUUUCUCACACACGGGUGGUGGAAUUGCUGAAGGAGUGUGCGGUCGGAGCCGAGGCCACCCUGCUGGUACAGAGGGAGCGAGGUCAGUUUUCACCUUGGAAGAGUACCAAACAGGUUUUGGAGCACUGGGACUCUCAGGGUGGUGUUUGUGCUCCUGUCCUGCCCCACAGCGCCCCCUACCUGCCCUGGCCCUCAGCUACUGACCCCCCUCAGGGCCUUGACCUCAGCAAACCAGACCCCUAUGACCUGUACACCAAAUCCAGGGCUUUGUAUGAGAGUAGGCAGCCGGGCCUGCCUCGACCUGUUUACCCAGUGGACCCCUCGGCAGAGUUCCAGGAAGUGGAAGUGGAUCUGCACAGAGAGAAAUCCGGCUUCGGCUUCAGGAUCCUGGGAGGAGAGGAAGCAGGACAGCCUGUGAGUCCGGAGGUUCCUGAGAAGAUCCUGAUCGGGGCGAUCGUAGAGAACAGCCCGGCGGAUAAAGAUGGCCGCCUGCGUCCCGGAGACGAGCUGAUUUCAGUGGACGGGAUCUCUGUGGCGGGAAAACCUCAUCGCCACGUCAUCGAUCUGAUGCACGUGGCGGCUCGGACCGGCCAUGUCAAACUGGCGAUACGGAGGAGAGUGCAGCCCGCAUGCGAGUCGUGUCCUCAGAACGGACGCAGCCCCGGCCCCGUGUCCACCCAGCACAGCUCACCUCGGAGUGACUUCAACUCCGGAAACUUCUCCAACAGCGCCGGCGUUCCUCAAAACCACGCCCCUAACACCACGCCCUCGCAGCCCUCGGACACCGCGGCCAGUCAGGCCAGUGACGUCGUCGUUCAGCGCAAGGAGACGGAAGGGUUCGGGUUCGUCAUCAUCAGUUCGCUGAGCAGGCCGGAAACAGCCGCAGCUGCUGCAGCGGUGCCUCAUAAGAUCGGGCGAAUCAUCGAGGGCAGUCCGGCUGAGCGCAGCGGGAAGCUGAAGGUGGGAGAUCGGAUCCUGGCGGUGAAUAAUCAGUCCAUCGUUAGCAUGGCUCACGCCGACAUCGUUAAACUCAUCAAAGACGCGGGACUGAGCGUCACGCUGCGCGUCGUCACACAGGACGAGACGAGCAGUACUCCCUCGGCUGCUAGCUCGGAGAAACCGAGUCCUCUGGCCCACCCGAGUCCGGUGGCACAGAAUAACCAAGCUGAGACGGACACGCCCCCAGACACACACCCCAGCCCUGUCAAUCAAACCAGCCCGAGCAAUCAGACGAGCCCUGAGAGCCAGCCCACUCAGCCUGCAGCUGCCGCGGUGCAGAUGUACACACACGACGGCAGUUACAGGUCAGAGGUCAAAGCCCGUCAGGACGUGAAGCCCGACAUUCGACAUCCCCCGUUCACUGAUUACCGCCAACCGCCCGUGGACUACAGACAGCCUCCUGUAGCGGAGUACACACACACACACACACCACUGCUGGACUACAGACACACUGACCCACGCUCCUACACCAUCACAGAGUACAGACACACACAGAAUUUUGAUUUCUUCACUGUGGAGUUGGAGAAGAGUGUUAAGGGUUUCGGGUUCAGUAUCCGAGGUGGGCGGGAAUACAAGAUGGACCUGUUCGUGCUCCGAUUGGCCGACGACGGCCCGGCCAUCCGCAACGGCAGGAUGAGGGUUGGAGAUCAGAUCAUAGAGAUUAAUGGUGAGAGCACACGGGAGAUGACACACACUCGCGCCAUCGAGCUCAUCAAGUCCGGCGGAAACAGAGUGAGACUGCUGCUGAAGAGAGGGACGGGACAGGUACCGGAGUAUGCAGAUAGCUCCGCCCCCUGGGAUCCUAACCCUACAGCCUCCUCAAGCGUGUCGGAAGUAGCUCCGCCCCUCGAGAGCUUAACCGACCCAUCGCCGUCAUCCCAUGUGAACCCAUCUACAGAGCCACCUCACACGCCGCCGAUCGCUACGGAAGCCCCCGAAAGCUGCCACCAGGGUCUUAAAGCGGCGGAGAAGGCGGGCGCGGGGUCCAGCAGGGGGCAGAACCGGCACCGGGAGGGCAGCAGAGCCAGACGCCGAAGCUCCGGUGGAAACAAGGGGCACCAGAGUCGUUCCGACGACACGAAAGCGGAACCCGGCAAGAGUCGAUCCAAAGAGCGGAAACGAGACCUGCUUAAACCCCUGCGAGGCGGCGUCGAGGUCGACAGGGGUGGCGUGGAGGGCGUCGGAAUCGUGCAGCAGGUCAAAGGUCAGGCGCGUGAGCCAGACAGGGGGACGGGGGAGAGAAAGACGUCCAAGAACACCAGCAGCAUGGCGAGCAGGAAGGCGACCGUGUCCCCAGGGCCGUGGAAAAUCCCAGGGUCGGAUAAACUCCCGAGCAGCCUGCGUUCAGCCUCGUCCACCAUCAGCAGAUAAAACACACACACACACACACACACACACACACACACACGGUUAUCUUCGAUUAGCCCUGAAGUGAUGAUCAAUAAGCCCCAAAAAACGAAAGAAAACCCCUGUCGAUUCAGUUUGAAUGAUUUGCUCUGAAAUCCUGGACCUCAGAGCCACAAAGAUCCCGGAUCCGUCUCCCACGACCCUCACGUCCACACGUCCCUCACGUCCCUCACGUCCCUCACGUCCUCACGCGCUCACAGACAGACACGCAUUAAGUUAUAUUUGAUUUCUAAAUUAUUCUUUUAAAGAGACAUGACACCCACCACCUUAAAAACUGGAAGUGUGUUUUUUCUCAGAAAAGAAAGUGAUGACGACGACGAUGAUGAUGAUGAUGAUGAUGAUGAUGAUGGAUGUGUGUCGCGUCGGAGGAGAAACAUCAAAACCGAACUGUCCCAUGCAUCAGAACCACGGCGGGUUUUAUACGCACGGGGGAACAGAUUCCGUCUUAACGGAGAAGAAGCAGACGACGGAUGAAGGACGUAACGCAGGAGUUUAUUCCCAUGUGUUCUGCCUUAAAAGAAAGAAACUGCAGAUAUCUAAUAAACACACGGAUGAUUAGAGAAAGACGUAUAUUAUAUUAUAUUAUAUUAUAUUAUAUUAUAAACAGAGAUAUAUAUAUAACAUGCCACAUGAAUACACAUAAGUGUAAAUACACUCACCGCUGUUUCACUCUCAACAACACAACCUCCGCCACGCUUCCUCCUCGGAGCCGUCCGAUCCGUCUCCUGCUCCCGCCUGCCGUUGUCCGUCAGCCAAUCAGCAUCGAGACGCUUUAGCGAUCGUCGCUUCGAGUCCACGUGAAUCAGAAGAAGGUUCGGGUGACCAAAAAACGCCGUUAACUUCGACUCUUUUUUUUUUUUUUUUUUUUACGCUUCAGGUACGAGAAUCGGGGAAUAUUUACGAACUACAUCGCAGUGCUAAUGCUGAGGAGUCUUUCUAAAAAAAAAAAUGUACAAAAAAAAAAAAAAAAAUGACGUUCGGUAGCUGGGUUCCGUAUACAUCAGCAAAACGUUAACUUUUGACUUUCAAGAAUGUCGAUUCGUCACGGCUUUUUCGUGUGUUUGGAGAAUUAUUAUUAUUUUUUUUUUCAGUUGGUCGUCUGAAAGGUUUCGAAUAACAUCUGGGCUUAAUUAUCAGCUGAGGAAUCCUCCGACUUCACGGUAAAGCUUUCCACAAAGCCAUCAGUGCAAUGUAGCAGCGUGUAUCACGUCAUCUCACACAGACACACACCUCUAUGCGUGAGUACUGCAGAUAGCGGGACAAGCUGGAAGAGGAACGUUCGUUGCACAGAGCCGGACGCUUUCGGGUUGAAAACGGGAUUAGACGGAAAUCUACUACCUUUAAGCGGUUAUCGAGACGGUCGACGCGAAGCUCAACCAAAUACCUGCAAAGUAAUUCCCACCUUUACACGUGACAGCGAAAAAGACUUAGUAAUAUAUAAACCUCCGUGUGUGUGUGUGUGUGUGUGUGUGUGUGUGUGUCUUUUAUUCCUCUUCUAACACAGCAAUUUACCGACGAUUAAAAUUUCCGAUUCCUUAAAGGAUGAAACUUCGUACGUUUUUAUCCGUUUACGGUUGCAUUUGAAGGUCGUUCCUGUUCCCACGUACGUUACAGCAGCUAUAAACAGUCGUUCCUUCAGCUCAGUCUCUCUCUCUUCUCUCCCUCUUGUUCGGUUAAUAAGACCAAAUGAAACGCAGCUUUUUUGUUAGCGAGAAACCGUGAACUCCUCCGUACUGAAGAUGUCGUAAAAACCUCUGACACUGGAGACUCCUUCCAUAAAUGUACAAUAAACACCUCUUUGCAUAAAUGUCAGCUUAUCAACAAUUGCAUACUAUUUUGUAUGAUUUGGAGCGUCUCUGGCAACACGCUUUAAACACAGAGUAUUACUUCUGCUAUUAUUAUUAUUAUUAUUAUUAUUAUUAUUAUUAUUAUUAAUGAUGCUUGGAUUUAGACCACACCCACACAUAUAAUUGGACGUUUCACCCGUUAAUAUUGAGUGUAUUCAAUAUUGAAAGAAAUCACCCAAUCUGGCAACACUGUCUGAAGCAUCUCUCCCUGUGAUGAGUCUCUGUGAUAAGUCCUUGUGAUAAGUCCUUGUGAUGAGUUCCUAUGAUUAAUCCCUAUGAUGAGUUCCUAUCAUGAUUCCCUGUGAUUAAUCCUUGUGAUUAGUCCCUGUAAAGAGUUCCUAUGAUGAGUCUCUAUGAUGAGUCCAUGUGAUGAGUCCAUGUGAUGAGUCCAUGUGAUGAGUCCAUGUGAUGAGUCCCUGUGAUGAGUCCCUGUGAUGAGUUCCUAUGAUGAGUCCCUGUGAUGAGUCCAUGUGAUGAGUUCCUAUGAUGAGUCCCUGUGAUGAGUCCAUGUGAUGAGUCCAUGUGAUGAGUCCAUGUGAUGAAUCCCUGUGAUGAAUCCCUGUGAUGAGUCCCUGUGAUGAGUCCAUGUGAUGAGUCCAUGUGAUGAGUCCAUGUGAUGAGUCCUUGUGAUGAAUCCCUGUGAUGAGUUCCUGUAUCCGGAAAGUAUUCACAGCACUUCACUUGUUGCACAUUGUGUUAUGUUACAGUCUUAUUCUAAAAUGGAUUAAAUUCAUUAUUUUCCUCAGAAUUCUACAAACAACACCCCAUAAUGACAACGUGAAAGAAGUUUGUUUGAAAUCUUUGCAAAUUCAUUAAAGAUAAAAAACAAAAAAAGCACACGUACAUAAGUAUUCACACCCUUUGCUCAAUACUUUGUUGAAGCAGCUUUGGCACCGAUUACAGCCUCAAGUCUUUUUGAGAAUGAUGCUACAAGCUUGCACACCUAUUUUUGGGCAGUUUCUCCCAUUCUUCUUUGCAGGACCUCUCAGGCUCCAUCAGGUCGGAUGGGGAGCGUCGGUGCACAGCCAUUUUCAGAUCUCUCCAGAGAUGUUCAAUCGGGUUCGAGUCUGGGCUCUGGCUGGGACACUCAAGGACAUUCACAGAGUCGUCCUGUAGACACUCCUUCGUUAUCCUG